AUCAUAAUAUUUAUAUUUUAUUAUUAGCAGCAACAUUCUUUUGAAAGCAGUUGCGGUCUUUUGUUCAAAACAUACAGUCGGAAUUGUUUAUAGUAUGUAUUUUAAUAAGGUCAAUUCAUUUUACAAACGUUUUGGGAUCCAUAUGAGAUUCUAAAUUCUGAUUUAACCAUGCCUUCACAAUGAAUUUCUAAACAAAAAUGUUUCUUUUUAAUAGAGAAAAGGAAUGGUUUCACUUAUUUUAAUGUUAACUUAUAAGGUGUUUAAACCCUUUAGAUUUUUCUUAACCCAGUUACGAUCAUUUUUCAUCCAAGUCUCCUGACGUUCUUAAAUAAACUUCCCCCCCCCCCCC
Non-coding RNA from Biomphalaria pfeifferi, 349 nucleotides. Lineage: Eukaryota; Metazoa; Mollusca; Gastropoda; Planorbidae. The record is from the annotation of a GenBank genome assembly.